Molecule: ribosomal RNA, 351 nt
Filed under: uncultured bacterium
Lineage: Bacteria
Description: bacterial SSU rRNA
Rfam family: Bacterial small subunit ribosomal RNA
Source: RNAcentral
GGGCCCGCACAAGCGGUGGAGCAUGUGGUUUAAUUCGAUGAUACGCGAGGAACCUUACCAGGGCUUAAAUGUAGAACGACCGAUUUGGAAACAAGUCCUCUCUUUGAGCGGUCUACAAGGUGCUGCAUGGUUGUCGUCAGCUCGUGCCGUGAGGUGUCGGGUUAAGUCCCUUAACGAGCGCAACCCCUAUCUCUAGUUGCCAGCGGAUAAUGCCGGGGACUCUAGAGAAACUGCCCGCGCAAGCGGUGAGGAAGGCGGGGAUGACGUCAAAUCAUCACGGCCCUUACGUCCUGGGCUACACACGUGCUACAAUGGUCGGUACAAAGGGCAGCUACCACGCAAGUGGAUGCA